GUGAAGACAGAACUUAUUCUACCGCACCAGAAAUGUUUAUCAAAACCCAUGUUAAUUGCCAAAAUAGUGAGACUGCAAACUGAAAAUCCUGAUCAUCCCUAACAGAGCUAACAUAUGAUACCCAUGUUCGACAUAAAUACAAAAUACAAACACUGCAAUGGACAUGAAUAAAUGAAUACAACAAUCAGCUACAUCCGGACAAAGGAAUGCAGUAUCUUCCCAGAUGCAGAUUUUGUGAAUGAAAGAUGAGGAGCAUCUUUUUGAAACUGUUGCCUGAAGAGUUUCAGAGUAGAAGAUAAUUGAAAACAGAUGGGCAUGAGACGGUAGAGCCAGGCAAUAUGGACAAAGCGGACCUGUGCUACAGAAGCUCUAGCAACUGUUAUGACCCUUUAAGAUGCGAAAGAGGCUGUACUAAUGUAUGGACUACCAGCAAGUUACAUUUGUUCAUGACUGAAUCAAGAAA
Long non-coding RNA from Chrysemys picta bellii (western painted turtle), 463 nucleotides. RefSeq lists it as uncharacterized. The record is from RefSeq and is a predicted model, not a curated record. NCBI's taxonomy places the organism in Eukaryota, Metazoa, Chordata, Testudines, Emydidae.